Long non-coding RNA from Lathyrus oleraceus (garden pea), 1809 nucleotides. RefSeq lists it as uncharacterized. NCBI's taxonomy places the organism in Eukaryota, Viridiplantae, Streptophyta, Magnoliopsida, Fabales, Fabaceae. The transcript is spliced from 2 exons. The record is from RefSeq and is a predicted model, not a curated record.
GUGAGUAUGUGAUCUUGGGAACACGGACAUUAAUUUUGUCUCUUGUAACUGAAAUGUUUCAAUAUGAAAGUAUUAUGUGCGGCUCUAGAUCUCUAGUGUAAGAGGUUGUGAGGCCACUAUGGCACUUAAUUUCACUCUAGUGUUAUUAUGGAACCAAAGUAGAUCAUGGAUCAUUGAUCGCAUCUGUUGGUGUCCUAUUGAUUCUUGAUCAUCAAUCUAAAUACCCAUAGUUAACUAUAAAUUGGCAUAAUGGAGUCACUUACUCCUUUCGCUUAUUUUUCUCUAGAGUUCCAUACUUCUUUCCUUUCGUGUGAUCUUUACUUGCUAGUGAUCUUCCCAUUUGUUUCAAUUUCCAUCAUUGUUUGUGCAAAAAAAAUGGGUCUUUCGUGGUAAUGUUUCUAUUUUUUCGAAUUUAACUCUACAAACACUCAAGGUAACAUUUUCUUUAUUUACCAUAUCAGUUGUUUCCAUGUAUUUCUAUCCAUGGCCAAUAUAUGAAACUCGAACAUUCCCUUUGUAGACUUUUGGAGCAAUGAUGAGAUAAGUGAUACCAUUGUAAGGCAUCCUUAUGUAGUCAUUAUAAAGAUUAGUUAGAGUUUUGAUACUUCGGGGAGUCCAAGCAAGGAUGCAAAGGAGUUGGGGGAUUCUUAGGAAGUAGAAAGUCUUGGAAUGGGGGUAGAUGUUGAAGAGGACGUCACUCCUUUUAUGAUUGAUAUUAAGGAAGUUGCGCAUGGUUUUUCCUUCUAUGGGCUCCCUAUGUUGAAUCCAGAUAUUGUAGAGGUAUACAUGAAUGAAUUAAAGGUUUGUAUUUAUAUUAAAUCCUUUAUGCGCCAAUAAGACUGCAAACAAAUUGAUAGGAAGGUGAGAUGGUGGAUAGAGUACCAAUCAUGUUCCAACCCUCAUGGUCGUAAUGUUUUACUUGUUGACAGUGAGGAGGAAAUGGUACGGAGGGAAAAGUUUAUAUGUCUUGUUGGAGGGUUGUGUAGAUAAUAGAGAUUCAUUUUCGAGGUGCACCUUUUCCUCCCACCAAAUGCUUUGACGUCUCAAAAGUGUGUAGACAAAGAAUAUUCGAUAAUAUAAAUAUUCUCAAUGGAUUGGUGGAAAUAAGGAAGGGUCUUAGCAAACAUACUUCCCUUUCGCAUCUGCCUUUUCCUCCAGGACAGUUAGAGGGGGAGGUUGUGUUGAUUCAAAAAGAUGUCGAGCAAAAGGGCUCGCAGUAGGUUUCAUAGAUUCCAAAGGAUCAACCCUAAUAAGAAACACUAGAAGAAAUGCAGACCCAAGGUCCUCCAACCUCUGAGGUUUAGAGCAAAAAAAUUAAUGAUCGCCUGGGAAAUUAUGCUUUAGAUUGAUCUUUAUUGAGGACAAUUAAUGAUAAUUCUUCUAAGCAGUUGAAAUACAAAAGGAUCAUUCAAGACUGGUCAAACACAAAAGCUCAAAAUAAGGAUGCCCAAAUACAAGAAAUUGAUAAUAAAGGAACCUAAAGUGCACCGACUUCCUAUUCCAUGUAAUAUUUCCUUCUCACCGUGUAUCUGAGAUCUUCCAAAUAUGUUUAGUUUAGCUUCCAAGACAGUUAUUACAACUACUUUGCUUAUUUGACAAAGUCUAGCCUCCAGGAAGCGAAGGCGAAGGUGUCAUAUCAUUUGCAUCGAACGUCUGUUGUGCUAUCUAUUGGUGGAAAUUAUACUAUCUUGUACAUAACCUUAUCAUUUCAUUCCUUGUAUUGACAUAGUUUUCAUGAUGUGCCCUUCAAGAGAAUAUUCUUUAUAGCUUAGAUGAAUGAUGAAAUAGCACAAUAGACCAUUUAUCUUA